CGCACACACACUUCCAGGCACUGAGCUCCGUGUCACUGCUCAGUGCGCGGCUGACAGCUCGUGGUGGACGUUCACACGCUCAGAGGAUGCGCGUCCACGUGCAUGGAAGGAGCUGCUCUCUGGGUUUCAUCCUCCUGCAGCUGCUGCUCCGCAAGGAGGCCGGGGCCAUCCACCCUGAGUGUGCUCUGGUGGUGCAGCACAUGAAGGCUAAGGAGGAGUGUAACCACAUACGUAGACAGGAGAAGAGCAACCACUCCUUAAGGACAGGAUGUCUGACCACGUGGGACGACGUUCGGUGCUGGCGUGGUGUGAAGGUGGGACGGGUGGUCAGUGUCUCGUGCGCUAACAUCUCCCAGAUGCUUGCGAACAACGGAGCCUUCUCCAGGGAACCAGCGUCUCCUGGAGGAGUCUGCAUGUUCUCACUGUUGACCUGACCUCCAACGUACCCGGACCCCCCGUCUGCUGCAGCUGGAAGAUUAGCGGGAAAACAACGGCAUCC
This 499-nucleotide long non-coding RNA is filed under the name Gouania willdenowi (blunt-snouted clingfish). RNAcentral describes it as "lncRNA (ENSGWIG00000006047.1)". Lineage: Eukaryota; Metazoa; Chordata; Actinopteri; Blenniiformes; Gobiesocidae. The record is from RNAcentral.